CCUGGCAACCUGAUUGAUUUGAUCAAAAUAAUUUUAUCAAAUCAUAAUUGAACUAGUAUAUAGAUGAUUCAAUAACAAUCAUGGAUGAUAAAAUCCAUUGGUAUCUGAUUUGACCAAAAUGAAUGCUGACAUGCUAUCCGACGACUUUGAAUCAGGAUUCUUUUCACUAAGAUCAAAUCAGAAUCAUUGAAAAGAAAGAUUUUUACUGGAUCAAUUUUAAAAAAUAGAAAUCCAUAAAGA
RNAcentral lists this long non-coding RNA (240 nucleotides) under Elaeis guineensis (African oil palm). RNAcentral's name for it is "long non-coding RNA (EGUI_LNC009799)". The record is from RNAcentral. Lineage: Eukaryota; Viridiplantae; Streptophyta; Magnoliopsida; Arecales; Arecaceae.